UAGGGAAUCUUCGGCAAUGGACGAAAGUCUGACCGAGCAACGCCGCGUGAGUGAAGAAGGUUUUCGGAUCGUAAAACUCUGUUGGUAGAGAAGAACGUUGGUGAGAGUGGAAAGCUCAUCAAGUGACGGUAACUACCCAGAAAGGGACGGCUAACUACGUGCCAGCAGCCGCGGUAAUACGUAGGUCCCGAGCGUUGUCCGGAUUUAUUGGGCGUAAAGCGAGCGCAGGUGGUUUAUUAAGUCUGGUGUAAAAGGCAGUGGCUCAACCAUUGUAUGCAUUGGAAACUGGUAGACUUGAGUGCAGGAGAGGAGAGUGGAAUUCCAUGUGUAGCGGUGAAAUGCGUAGAUAUAUGGAGGAACACCGGUGGCGAAAGCGGCUCUCUGGCCUGUAACUGACACUGAGGCUCGAAAGCGUGGGGAGCAAACAGGAUUAGAUAGCCCUGGUAGUCCACGCGUAAACGAUGAGU
RNAcentral lists this ribosomal RNA (467 nucleotides) under uncultured bacterium. RNAcentral's name for it is "partial 16S ribosomal RNA". It matches the Rfam family "Bacterial small subunit ribosomal RNA", at positions 355 to 814 of the family's 1533-position model. The record is from RNAcentral.